Molecule: ribosomal RNA, 253 nt
Filed under: uncultured bacterium
Lineage: Bacteria
Description: partial 16S ribosomal RNA
Rfam family: Bacterial small subunit ribosomal RNA
Source: RNAcentral
UACGUAGGGGGCAAGCGUUAUCCGGAUUUACUGGGUGUAAAGGGAGCGUAGACGGCAGGGCAAGUCUGGAGUGAAAGCCCGGGGCUCAACCCCGGGACUGCUUUGGAAACUGCCUAGCUAGAGUGCAGGAGAGGUAAGAGGAAUUCCUAGUGUAGCGGUGAAAUGCGUAGAUAUUAGGAGGAACACCAGCGGCGAAGGCGUCUUACUGGACUGUAACUGACGUUGAGGCUCGAAAGCGUGGGGAGCAAACAGG